Ruditapes philippinarum (Manila clam) is the source of this 1129-nucleotide long non-coding RNA. RefSeq lists it as uncharacterized. The transcript is spliced from 4 exons. Lineage: Eukaryota; Metazoa; Mollusca; Bivalvia; Venerida; Veneridae. The record is from RefSeq and is a predicted model, not a curated record.
GAAAUAGGUCCAACGUUUUAUUUACAUUACAGGGUUAAUGAUACUUACAAGACAAAGGAACCUGUUUAUGAAAACUCUGGCAUUGAACUAGAAUAUGGAAAUCCAGGAAAUGCUGCCAGUGCCAGUAAGCAUGGAAUUGUACAAGCAAUAAAGAGCGACACUUUGUUAAAGUCACCUGACUAUGAGGAUCUUGGAAGAGUUCAAGUAUCUGAGCAUGAAUAUGGAGAAAUUCGUCCAGACACGUGAUAUCAUUGAUAUAUUUAUAACAGUAAGAACACGCGAAGAGAAAUGGUCAUCAACAACUAUGAACUGCAUUAAAAGAGUCAGACUGAGAAGAGAGUAACAAUUUGAAUUUUAAACAAUGGACGACAUUAUAUCAAAGUUUAACACAAAAUCAUUAUUUAUUGUAUAGUUAUGAAUAUCUGUCUAAUAUUUUAUGUGUUAAACACUAUUGUAAAUACUUUCUUAAAAAAUAUUUAAAACAUUUGACUGCAUGUUGAUAUUUUGAUGUCCGCACAUUUGAAGGCGGAACAGUUCAAUAAAACGGAUGUCCACAUUUACAUAAAGAAAAUUUGAAAUUGAGAAAUACCUUAGUGAAACACAUACGCCAUUAGUUCAACCUUUUUAUGUCUUCCAUUUUGUCUUCUAUUUGGUUAUAUGUAUCAUAUUUUCUGUUAAAAUAAUUGUCUAUAAAAUUGUGUCAUGUUUACAAGCUUUAUUGUGUAAUUGUAAAUAUAUGUUUGUGUAGUAAGAAACGCCAUUACUACGUUGCCAAAUAAAAUGUUUUGAAUGUUUAAUCUUGAAUAUUAAGUUUAGACAAGAGCGUGCAUUUGCGUAAAACCACUGACGUACCGUCAGCUAGUCGGUUAGCAUACUAAAAGUCUCCGGUGGGAUUGGAACUUACAGAGGUGAGAAUGUAAGUGUAUUAAUGUUAAACAAGACCGACAACAUCUUGUGAUACCAUAACUACGACUCGUAUAAUUGCCAAAUAUCUAGAGUAAAUUCAAAGAAAGUUGAGAUUGGAAACAAAAACCUUCUUAAAAACAGUUUUCGCUGUUGUUUACAUGACUCAAUUUAAUGUAUAUGUUUUUUUAUAAAAUAGAAAAAGCUGUGCUUAAUUUCAUGACUU